Molecule: long non-coding RNA, 1224 nt
Organism: Vespa mandarinia (Asian giant hornet)
Lineage: Eukaryota; Metazoa; Arthropoda; Insecta; Hymenoptera; Vespidae
Source: RefSeq, a predicted model, not a curated record
UCGUCUGUGGAGAGAGCAUCGUGAGAGGAUCGUGAGAGCAUCGUAAGAGUAUCGUGGCUCUCUCCCCUCUCUCCUGAUCACACUAAUCAUCGUCAUCAUCAUCUUUGACUAUUAAAAUUACGGGAGUCAGCGGAAGAGGAGCCAUGAUCAACGAACGGUGUUAACACGAUAACGAAAGGAGGAGGAGAAGGAGGAGGAAGAAGAAGGAGGAGAAAAAAAGCAAGAAAAUGUAUAAUCUAACCGGAGGUGUUUCUAUUUUUUCUGUCGCAGAUCAAUCGACCAACUUGGACCAAACGAUAAUGGUAACGACGUUCGAUACAUCCUGGCGAUCAACACAAGGAACGGAAUUCAAUAGGAUCAUUAACUUCGAUGAUUGGGAGCCACGGAGGACGUAGAAUCAACGGGUGCAGCUAGAACUAAUCAAUAUAUAUAUAUGUAUGUAUAUAUAUACUAAUCACUGGUUAGCUAUUUGAAAAGAAGAAGAAGAAAAAGAAGAAAAAAAAGAAGAAUAGGAAGAAAAUGGAAGAAUACUCAAAGGCAGUAAAAAUCAUGGAAGACAAUGAAGAUAAUCAAAAUAAUUAAGAUAAUCAAGAAGAUAAAAGGACUGUUCCGGAUCAUCAAGUGGAUUUAUUAUUCAACGUUAACGUAGAACUUUUUAAGAAGAUCAUGAGGAACAUUUUUAUUUCGUGGGAAUCUAUGAAUUUCAUCAUAUUCAAUGACUGAAUCCCUUUUUGUUGUUAUUGUUGUUGUUGUUAUUUGUACAUUAGACAGAACUCAAUUUACAUUUGUAAGAAUAAUAGAAAAAAAAAAUACCUGACAAUUGAUAAACAAAAUCUAUUAACAAAGAUGGAUGCUUGAAAAUAAACAAAGUCAUUGUUCCAUUGGAAAACUCAUACAGGCAUCAUCAAAAUAUAUUCAUCAGGAGAAAUACGCUCGUCAAUACUGAUAAUAAGAUUGAAGUUAUGUGAUAUAAACUGAUAAGGUUUACAUUUAAAAAAAAGUAGAAAAUGUCUGAAGAAUCAUCUGAUCUUAAAAAGUAUGGUCAUUAUGAAAUGAAAUAUAUACAAAUUCCAAAUUAAUAUCAAUGGAGAAUCAAAAUAGUAACAUAGCGAAAAUAAAAAAAAAACUCGCAGAUCCAAGUUAACAGUUUUCAGGAUUGAUAAUGCGAAUAUCAAAUAUCAAAUAUCAGAUAUCCAUUUCCAAAAAAAAAAAACAAAGAUAAUU